Molecule: unclassified non-coding RNA, 218 nt
Filed under: soil metagenome
Description: partial contains small subunit ribosomal RNA, internal transcribed spacer 1, and 5.8S ribosomal RNA
Source: RNAcentral
UUUCCGUAGGUGAACCUGCGGAAGGAUCAUUACCGGUUGCGCGCGGUCGCUCUCUUCGAGCGCCGUUUCGUGCAGACCCUUGCCUAUUCGCACCUCCUGUUAUCCCCUCGGCGGGGAGACCCGCCGACGGGGCCCAUCCAAACCCCCUUGCACGCAGCGAUCCCAAUCUGAAUUGAACCGAAACGUCACAACUUUCAACAAUGGAUCUCUUGGUUCCG